UCAAGGUGUCUAUGAUAAUUGAAUAAAGCAUCUUCUCGAACAAGUCCCUCUACUGCCAUGAUUAUAGAUUCUACUACCUUUACAAACUCAAGUCAAAACAUACACCAUCGUCUUCGAAUGUCACCA
This is a long non-coding RNA of Haliotis rubra (blacklip abalone), 126 nucleotides long. RefSeq lists it as uncharacterized. The record is from RefSeq and is a predicted model, not a curated record. Lineage: Eukaryota; Metazoa; Mollusca; Gastropoda; Lepetellida; Haliotidae. The transcript has 4 exons.